Molecule: ribosomal RNA, 400 nt
Filed under: uncultured bacterium
Lineage: Bacteria
Description: bacterial SSU rRNA
Rfam family: Bacterial small subunit ribosomal RNA
Source: RNAcentral
UGGGGAAUAUUGCGCAAUGGGCGAAAGCCUGACGCAGCAAUGCCGCGUGAGGGAUGAAGGCCUUCGGGUCGUAAACCUCUGUCAGAAGGGAAGAACCGCCGGGGUGCUAAUCAGCCCCGGUCUGACGGUACCUUCAAAGGAAGCACCGGCUAACUCCGUGCCAGCAGCCGCGGUAAUACGGAGGGUGCAAGCGUUAAUCGGAAUCACUGGGCGUAAAGCGCACGUAGGCCGUUUGGUAAGUCAGAGGUGAAAGCCCGUAGCUCAACUACGGAAUUGCCUUUGAUACUGCUGGACUUGAGUUCGGGAGAGGGUAGUGGAAUUCCAGGUGUAGGAGUGAAAUCCGUAGAUAUCUGGAGGAACAUCAGUGGCGAAGGCGACUACCUGGACCGAUACUGACGCU